Mandrillus leucophaeus (drill) is the source of this 382-nucleotide long non-coding RNA. RefSeq lists it as uncharacterized. The record is from RefSeq and is a predicted model, not a curated record. NCBI's taxonomy places the organism in Eukaryota, Metazoa, Chordata, Mammalia, Primates, Cercopithecidae. The transcript has 3 exons.
GACAAGGCGGGCAGUCCGCCAGCGGGAGCGUUGGCAGGCCUGGGGUCAGAUCCCGAAUCAGCCAGUUAGUUGCUUGAGGAUGACAGAGCUGUGUGUUGUCCAUGGUCAGAGCACACAGGAGGUCUGAACUGUUAUCCUGUUCUGCCACUGAAAUGUGUAAAAUAUAGGAGGAGUGUCCCCCAAGUCAUUUUUCUAAAAGCAUCAUCCAACUAUGAGCUGAACACUGCCCCAAGAAUGCAACAGAACCUCAACUCUGUCCCAAGGUCAUCAGCCACAGCUCCAAGCUUCUUCGCAUCAGCUUUUUCUGAACAAAAUAGUGCAUCCUGCUGGAAUCACUACUGUAAACUGAGUAUAAAGGAAAAUAAACCCUCUUUUUCUUAUC